Molecule: ribosomal RNA, 245 nt
Filed under: uncultured bacterium
Lineage: Bacteria
Description: partial 16S ribosomal RNA
Rfam family: Bacterial small subunit ribosomal RNA
Source: RNAcentral
GUAGGUGGCAAGCGUUAUCCGGAUUUAUUGGGUUUAAAGGGUGCGUAGGCGGUUUGAUAAGUUAGAGGUGAAAUACCGGGGCUUAACUCCGGAACUGCCUCUAAUACUGUUGAACUAGAGAGUAGUUGCGGUAGGCGGAAUGUAUGGUGUAGCGGUGAAAUGCUUAGAGAUCAUACAGAACACCGAUUGCGAAGGCAGCUUACCAAACUAUAUCUGACGUUGAGGCACGAAAGCGUGGGUAGCAA